UGAAAAUUAGCAGAGUCCAUCCUGAACUAUUUUUUUUUGAGAUUCAGGGAUGGUAGCCCCACGGACAACGUAAGAUUCAGCAAAAGGCUAAUGUGUUUUAUACUAUAAAUACAAGUCAAGUUUGAUUGAACCACAAACAAGGCUCAUUGUAUCUGUAUAUUGCACGCGAAAGUGGCUAGUGUAUAUAGUAUUGUCUUAUAUCCGUCAUCUUGGAGGAAG
RNAcentral lists this unclassified non-coding RNA (219 nucleotides) under Hevea brasiliensis (rubber tree). Lineage: Eukaryota; Viridiplantae; Streptophyta; Magnoliopsida; Malpighiales; Euphorbiaceae. The record is from RNAcentral.